AGCGAAAGCGUUAAGUAUCCCACCUGGGGAGUACGCCGGCAACGGUGAAACUCAAAGGAAUUGACGGGGGCCCGCACAAGCGGAGGAACAUGUGGUUUAAUUCGAUGAUACGCGAGGAACCUUACCCGGGCUUGAAUUGCGACUGACUGCAUCAGAGAUGAUGUUUCCAGCAAUGGCAGUCGUGAAGGUGCUGCAUGGUUGUCGUCAGCUCGUGCCGUGAGGUGUCGGCUUAGGUGCCAUAACGAGCGCAACCCUUUUCCCUGUUUGCCAUCGGGUAAUGCCGGGCACUCCAGGGAUACUGCCAUCGUAAGAUGUGAGGAAGGUGGGGAUGACGUCAAAUCAGCACGGCCCUUACGUCCGGGGCUACACACGUGUUACAAUGGGCGGCACAGAGGGCAGCGACCGCGCGAGCGGCAGCCAAUCCCGAAAUCCGCUCUCAGUUCGGACUGGAGUCUGCAACCCGACUCCACGAAGCUGGAUUCGCUAGUAAUCGCGCAUCAGCCAUGGCGCGGUGAAUACGUUCCCGGGCCUUGUACACACCGCCCGUC
Molecule: ribosomal RNA, 548 nt
Filed under: uncultured bacterium
Lineage: Bacteria
Description: bacterial SSU rRNA
Rfam family: Bacterial small subunit ribosomal RNA
Source: RNAcentral